This 503-nucleotide ribosomal RNA is filed under the name uncultured bacterium. Its description in RNAcentral is "bacterial SSU rRNA". It matches the Rfam family "Bacterial small subunit ribosomal RNA", at positions 28 to 507 of the family's 1533-position model. The record is from RNAcentral.
AAUGAACGCUGGCGGCGUGCCUAACACAUGCAAGUCGAGCGGUAAGGCCCCUUCGGGGGUACACGAGCGGCGAACGGGUGAGUAACGCGUGGGUAACCUACCUGGAAGUGGGGGAUAGCCUCGGGAAACCGAGGGUAAUACCGCAUAUGCUCCAGAUCAUGUUGGUGAACUGGUGGAAAGGCGGGGAUCCUUCGGGACCUGUCGCUUCCGGAUGGGCCCGCGUCCGAUUAGCUUGUUGGUGAGGUAAUGGCUCACCAAGGCAUCGAUCGGUAGCCGGCCUGAGAGGGUGAUCGGCCACAUUGGGACUGAGACACGGCCCAGACUCCUACGGGAGGCAGCAGUGGGGAAUUUUGGACAAUGGGGGCAACCCUGAUCCAGCGACGCCGCGUGGAGGAUGACGGCCUUCGGGUUGUAAACUCCUGUCAGGUGGGAAGAAGGCUCUGUCGGAUAAUACCUGGCAGAGAUUGACGGUACCACCAAAGGAAGCCCCGGCUAACUCCGUG